Molecule: long non-coding RNA, 202 nt
Filed under: Phoenix dactylifera (date palm)
Lineage: Eukaryota; Viridiplantae; Streptophyta; Magnoliopsida; Arecales; Arecaceae
Description: long non-coding RNA (PDAC_LNC000936)
Source: RNAcentral
UGUCGAUUUCGACUAUCUCUCCCGGGAGGGUUUCACCAUAGGUGAGAGAUUGCGUGUCCAGGGCUUAGAGUAUUUCCUCACAUUAGAUCUCCCAACUUACCCUGGAUUAGUUAGAGAGUUUUACGGUACCGUCCAUCGGGGAGAUGGGGGUAUCGAGGGCACGGUAGCCGGUGUCCCUCUGUUCAUUACGGAGGAUCUUAUU